This 484-nucleotide ribosomal RNA is filed under the name uncultured bacterium. Its description in RNAcentral is "partial 16S ribosomal RNA". It matches the Rfam family "Bacterial small subunit ribosomal RNA", at positions 30 to 507 of the family's 1533-position model. The record is from RNAcentral.
AUUGAACGCUGGCGGCAGGCCUAACACAUGCAAGUCGAGCGGAUGAAGGGGGCUUUCUCCUGGAUUCAGCGUCGCGCGGGUGAGUAAUGCCUAGGAAACUACCUGGUAGUGGGGGAUAAAGUCCGGAAAAGGGCGCUAAUACAGCCUACGUCCUGAGGGAGAAAGAGGGGGGUCUUCGGACCCCACGCUAUCAGGUGAGCCUAGGUCGGAUUAGCUAGUUGGUGGGGUAAAGGCCUACCAAGGCGACGAUCCGUAACUGGUCUGAGAGGAUGAUCAGGCACACUGGAACUGAGACACGGUCCAGACUCCUACGGGAGGCAGCAGUGGGGAAUAUUGGACAAUGGGCGAAAGCCUGAUCCAGCCAUGCCGCGUGUGUGAAGAAGGUCUUCGGAUUGUAAAGCACUUUAAGUUGGGAGGAAGGGCAGUAAGUUAAUACCUUGCUGUUUUGACGUUACCAACAGAAUAAGCACCGGCUAACUUCGUG